This 430-nucleotide ribosomal RNA is filed under the name Pseudomonadota bacterium. Its description in RNAcentral is "Proteobacteria bacterium partial 16S ribosomal RNA". It matches the Rfam family "Bacterial small subunit ribosomal RNA", at positions 355 to 776 of the family's 1533-position model. The record is from RNAcentral. Lineage: Bacteria; Pseudomonadati; Pseudomonadota.
UGGGGAAUAUUGGACAAUGGGGGGAACCCUGAUCCAGCCAUGCCGCGUGUGUGAAGAAGGCCUUAUGGUUGUAAAGCACUUUAAGCGAGGAGGAGGGUACUGGUAUUAAUACUACCAGGUACUGGACGUUACUCGCAGAAUAAGCACCGGCUAACUCUGUGCCAGCAGCCGCGGUAAUACAGAGGGUGCGAGCGUUAAUCGGAUUUACUGGGCGUAAAGCGUGCGUAGGCGGCUAAUUGAGUCGGAUGUGAAAUCCCCGAGCUUAACUUGGGAAUUGCAUUCGAUACUGGUUAGCUAGAGUGUGGGAGAGGAUGGUAGAAUUCCAGGUGUAGCGGUGAAAUGCGUAGAGAUCUGGAGGAAUACCGAUGGCGAAGGCAGCCAUCUGGCCUAACACUGACGCUGAGGUACGAAAGCAUGGGGAACAAACAGG